Molecule: ribosomal RNA, 255 nt
Filed under: uncultured bacterium
Lineage: Bacteria
Description: partial 16S ribosomal RNA
Rfam family: Bacterial small subunit ribosomal RNA
Source: RNAcentral
UACGUAGGGUGCAAGCGUUAAUCGGAAUUACUGGGCGUAAAGCGUACGUAGGCGGCUUUGUAAGUUAGAGGUGAAAGCCCGGGGCUCAACUCCGGAACUGCCUUUAAGACUGCAUCGCUUGAAUCCGGGAGAGGUGAGUGGAAUUCCGAGUGUAGAGGUGAAAUUCGUAGAUAUUCGGAAGAACACCAGUGGCGAAGGCGGCUCACUGGACCGGUAUUGACGCGUGAGGUGCCGAAAGCGUGGGGAGCAAACAGG